This is a long non-coding RNA of Sorex araneus (European shrew), 1398 nucleotides long. RefSeq lists it as uncharacterized. The transcript has 7 exons. Lineage: Eukaryota; Metazoa; Chordata; Mammalia; Eulipotyphla; Soricidae. The record is from RefSeq and is a predicted model, not a curated record.
CGUGCCCUUCUGAGUAGAGCCCAGCUGACUGCACCUUACACAUAUGUAGUCGGGGAAGUCAGGGGCCACCAACCCAGUGGGGUUGGCCUGUGCUUCUGACUCUGGAAGAAAGAAAUCUAGGUGGAUGUCCUGGAAAACCGUUACAUAUGCAGAGACAAUUAUAAAAGAUGAAUGCAGAACCAUGGUGCCCGGACGACAGGGCUGGGCUUCCCGCUUCUGACUCCACCUAUGAGACCCUCGACUCCUCAGUGUCUCUUUCUCACCCACUCCUGGCUAUUGAGAACAAGGGUUUCGAACCACACCAGCAGUGCUCAGGAGCUAUUCUGUCUCUGUGUUCAUAUGGCCAUGCACUGGGGGCCAGGGGAGGUGCCGAGGAUUGAUCUGGGUUCAACUGUCUGCAAGGAAAGCACCUGAACCCCUGGACUAUCUCUUCAGCCCUGACCACAAAUCCUUAUUUUGUGAACUUGUGAAGCCCAGCUCUCCUGGCAGCUGUCCAGUCUUCGAGAUGGGGUCCUGAAGACUCUCAUUUCCUCUACGUUUGGCCGGCCCCCACCGCCCCCAGCAACGCAGCUUCAAGUGAAGGACCCCGACUCCAGCCCUCCACUGGGGAAGCAUCCCAGGUGUGCAGAAGGUCAAGAAUUCUUGGAGAACUUUGCUGCCUGUACUCUGCGCUGGGGACCCCAGGUGAUUUCCCUCCUGGGAAAGAUGUGGAGGACACUAGGAUAGGCCUGCCUUGUUCUGGAUUCGGGCAGUGUGUUUCUCAGAGAACUUGAAAAUUAAACCUGAGACCUAGCACCCCAGUGGGUCUUGAACCCAGGUCCUUGGACACCCUAACAGGGUGCCUGGAAGCACAGGAGCCACUCCCAAGCCUGCCACUAGAAACUCUCCAGGUCACUGCAGGCACAAAAGAUUUCCAAGUCCAGACAAACGAAAAGAAGAAGCUGAAACCACUGCUGCUAUCUCUAAGGAUGCUAAUUGAAGCAUGGUCUCUCCACCACCGCCUCACUGCUGAUGUCACAUUUGCUGUCUUGAGGGUGCUGGUCAUCCACAGAGCGAAGAGUCUCAGGAUCUCCUUCAGGAUUCCAGAUGGUUCUCUCACUAACGAUCACUGUCUCGACAUAAAAGGACUGCACUCAUUUGUGGAGUAUAGAAUAACAUCACAUGAGACUGGCACCCAAGGACAGUAGAUACAAGGGCCAGGGGGAUUGCCCCAUAGCUGGAAGACUGCUUCAUGAGUGGAGGAGAGAAGGCAAAUGGAAUAGAGAAGAGAUCACUAAGAAAAUGAUGGUUGGGAUGGGAGAUGUGUGCCGAAAGUAGAUAAUGGACCAAACAUGAUGGCCUCUCAGUGUCUGUGUUGCAAGCCAUAAUGCCCAAAAGUAGAGAGAAAGUAUGGGGAAU